GCACCGGCGUGCGGCCCGGCUGAGCCCCCAGGUAGCUCCGCGCGCACAGCAGGACGGUCAUUGACGCCAUGAGCGCGCUGCUGCGGCUGCUGCGCACGGGUGCCCCAGCCGCUGCGUGCCUGCGGUUGGGGACCAGUGCAGGGACCGGGUCGCGCCGUGCUAUGGCCCUGUACCACACUGAGGAGCGCGGCCAGCCCUGCUCGCAGAAUUACCGCCUCUUCUUUAAGAAUGUAACUGGUCACUACAUUUCCCCCUUUCAUGAUAUUCCUCUGAAGGUGAACUCUAAAGAGGAAAAUGGCAUUCCUAUGAAGAAAGCACGAAAUGAUGAAUAUGAGAAUCUGUUUAAUAUGAUUGUAGAAAUACCUCGGUGGACAAAUGCUAAAAUGGAGAUUGCCACCAAGGAGCCAAUGAAUCCCAUUAAACAAUAUGUAAAGGAUGGAAAGCUACGCUAUGUGGCGAAUAUCUUCCCUUACAAGGGUUAUAUAUGGAAUUAUGGUACCCUCCCUCAGACUUGGGAAGAUCCCCAUGAAAAAGAUAAGAGCACGAACUGCUUUGGAGAUAAUGAUCCUAUUGAUGUUUGCGAAAUAGGCUCAAAGAUUCUUUCUUGUGGAGAAGUUAUUCAUGUGAAGAUCCUUGGAAUUUUGGCUCUUAUUGAUGAAGGUGAAACAGAUUGGAAAUUAAUUGCUAUCAAUGCGAAUGAUCCUGAAGCCUCAAAGUUUCAUGGUCUCAGAAAUAUUCCAGUAUAUACAAUAAAUCGCAUAGUCAUCCUGCCUUCACUUGACAGGAGCCAAACUUCCAGCCUGUCCUACCUGCCUGCACAUCAGGAUUCCUGUGUGCCCCUGGAUGCAGCCCUACAUGUUGUUUUGUAUUUUUGUUCCCUCUUGGGUCUACAAAGUUACUUAUGUUGUUUUUGAGUCUUUUUGAUGUUAAUCUGUUUAUAAGGUAUCUAUUUUAGGUAGGUUAGCCUGAGGGAGUACACUGAAACACGAAUUUAGUGCCCCUCUGUCAAAAGGUCUCUGUUUUUUCCAAAGCAGAAUGCUUUGGAAACUUGAGGAGUCUUUUUAUUUGCUGAUAAUUUGGUUAAUAUGCUUGAACUCAGUGAAAGCCUCAUUUCAGAAAUAAAUAUUUAUAAGUACUUCACUCAAGUAAUUCUAUUUAUAUAUUCCCUCUCCAUUCCAAAUGUUUAAAAGAGGGGUUAAUUUAACUUCAACACAGUGGAAAAAAAUUAAUUUAUAAGAACUAAAUUGUAAUAAUAUUAGAGAUAAAAGUAAACGUGUCUGUUGUUAAAUAAGAAAUUAAUUACAAAUUCAUUUAGGGUCUUUACUAUAAGUGAAAAACUAUAUGUGUAUAGCAAAAAGUUAUUAAUAAGUAUGCAUGUGUAUGUGUAUAUAUAUAUACCUAGAUACUUUUUAUAUAUGUUAUUUUUAGUCUUUGUGUUUGUUUAUAACUAUGCCUACCUACAUUGAUUUUUCAGGAGCAUUAUACAAAUUAAAAUAACUGUCAAUAUUAAUGAAAAUCUGUUUAGUAUUUUUCUAAAAAAAUUAACUCAUGUUUGUGUAUUUAUUUAUUUAUUCAUUUAUUUAUUUUUGAGGCAGAGUCUCACUCUGUCGCCCAGGCUGGAGUGCAGUGGCAGGAUCUUGGCUCACUGCAAGCUCCGCCUCCCAGGUUCAUGCCAUUCUCCUGCCUCAGCCUCCCGAGUAGCUGAGACUACAGGUGCCCGCCACCACGCCCAGCUAAUUUUUUGUAUUUUUUUAGUAGAGACAGGGUUUCACCGUGUUAGCCAGGAUGGUCUCAAUCUCCUGACCUGGUGAUCUGCUCGCCUCGGCCUCCCAAAGUGCUGGGAUUACAGGUGUGAGCCACCGCGCCUGGCCUGUGUAUUUAUUUUUGAAAGAUAAAAGCUUGUAAAGCUAUUAAUUUGCCUAUAUUGAUGAUGUUAAGAAGUUCAAACCGGGUUACCUGGAAGCUACUCUUAAUUGGUUUAGAUUAUAUAAGGUACCAGAUGGAAAACCAGAAAACCAGUUUGCUUUUAAUGGAGAAUUCAAAAACAAGGCUUUUGCUCUUGAAGUCAUUAAAUCCACUCAUCAAUGUUGGAAAGCAUUGCUUAUGAAGAAGUGUAAUGGAGGAGCUAUAAAUUGCACAAACGUGCAGAUAUCUGAUAGCCCUUUCCGUUGCACUCAAGAGGAAGCAAGAUCAUUAGUUGAAUCGGUAUCAUCUUCACCAAAUAAAGAAAGUAAUGAAGAAGAGCAAGUGUGGCACUUCCUUGGCAAGUGAUUGAAACAUCUGAAAUUCUGCUGUCAAGAUUCCCAUCUCUAAGGACUCCAAGACUCUUUUUCCCCAAGUGCUAGAGACAAGGGGGUCUAUGAGCAUUUACUGACUUCCUGUUAAAACUUCAUUUUUUCAAACUUUUUGAGCUAUGCAAUAUAUAAAUAAACAGUAAGAAUUUUAAA
This is an RNA transcript of Pan troglodytes (chimpanzee), 2447 nucleotides long. It is a transcript of the gene named inorganic pyrophosphatase 2, with no coding region annotated. The record is from RefSeq and is a predicted model, not a curated record. The transcript has 13 exons. NCBI's taxonomy places the organism in Eukaryota, Metazoa, Chordata, Mammalia, Primates, Hominidae.